GGUUAAGCGACUAAGCGUACACGGUGGAUGCCCUGGCAGUCAGAGGCGAUGAAGGACGUGCUAAUCUGCGAAAAGCGCCGGCGAGGUGAUAUGAACCCUUGACCCGGCGAUGUCCGAAUGGGGAAACCCAGUGCAAUCCGUUGCACUAUCGUUAACUGAAUACAUAGGUUAACGAGGCGAACCGGGGGAACUGAAACAUCUAAGUACCCCGAGGAAAAGAAAUCAACCGAGAUUCCCCCAGUAGCGGCGAGCGAACGGGGAGCAGCCCAGAGUCUGAAUCAGCUUGUGUGUUAGUGGAAGCGUCUGGAAAGUCGCACGGUACAGGGUGAAAGUCCCGUACACGAAAAUGCACAGGCUGUGAACUCGAAGAGUAGGGCGGGACACGUGGUAUCCUGUCUGAAUAUGGGGGGACCAUCCUCCAAGGCUAAAUACUCCUGACUGACCGAUAGUGAACCAGUACCGUGAGGGAAAGGCGAAAAGAACCCCGGCGAGGGGAGUGAAAAAGAACCUGAAACCGUGUACGUACAAGCAGUGGGAGCACCUUCGUGGUGUGACUGCGUACCUUUUGUAUAAUGGGUCAGCGACUUAUAUUCUGUAGCAAGGUUAACCGUAUAGGGGAGCCGAAGGGAAACCGAGUCUUAACUGGGCGUUAAGUUGCAGGGUAUAGACCCGAAACCCGGUGAUCUAGCCAUGGGCAGGUUGAAGGUUGGGUAACACUAACUGGAGGACCGAACCGACUAAUGUUGAAAAAUUAGCGGAUGACCUGUGGCUGGGGGUGAAAGGCCAAUCAAACCGGGAGAUAGCUGGUUCUCCCCGAAAGCUAUUUAGGUAGCGCCUCGUGAACUCAUCUUCGGGGGUAGAGCACUGUUUCGGCUAGGGGGCCAUCCCGGCUUACCAACCCGAUGCAAACUACGAAUACCGAAGAAUGUUAUCACGGGAGACACACGGCGGGUGCUAACGUCCGUCGUGAAGAGGGAAACAACCCAGACCGCCAGCUAAGGUCCCAAAGUCAUGGUUAAGUGGGAAACGAUGUGGGAAGGCCCAGACAGCCAGGAUGUUGGCUUAGAAGCAGCCAUCAUUUAAAGAAAGCGUAAUAGCUCACUGGUCGAGUCGGCCUGCGCGGAAGAUGUAACGGGGCUAAACCAUGCACCGAAGCUGCGGCAGCGACGCUUAUGCGUUGUUGGGUAGGGGAGCGUUCUGUAAGCCGUUGAAGGUGGCCUGUGAGGGUUGCUGGAGGUAUCAGAAGUGCGAAUGCUGACAUAAGUAACGAUAAAGCGGGUGAAAAGCCCGCUCGCCGGAAGACCAAGGGUUCCUGUCCAACGUUAAUCGGGGCAGGGUGAGUCGACCCCUAAGGCGAGGCCGAAAGGCGUAGUCGAUGGGAAACAGGUUAAUAUUCCUGUACUUGGUGUUACUGCGAAGGGGGGACGGAGAAGGCUAUGUUAGCCGGGCGACGGUUGUCCCGGUUUAAGCAUGUAGGCGGAGGUUCCAGGUAAAUCCGGUACCUUUUAACGCUGAGGUGUGAUGACGAGGCACUACGGUGCUGAAGUAACAAAUGCCCUGCUUCCAGGAAAAGCCUCUAAGCAUCAGGUAACACGAAAUCGUACCCCAAACCGACACAGGUGGUCAGGUAGAGAAUACCAAGGCGCUUGAGAGAACUCGGGUGAAGGAACUAGGCAAAAUGGUGCCGUAACUUCGGGAGAAGGCACGCUGAUAUGUAGGUGAAGCCCCUGCGGGUGGAGCUGAAAUCAGUCGAAGAUACCAGCUGGCUGCAACUGUUUAUUAAAAACACAGCACUGUGCAAACACGAAAGUGGACGUAUACGGUGUGACGCCUGCCCGGUGCCGGAAGGUUAAUUGAUGGGGUUAGCGGUAACGCGAAGCUCUUGAUCGAAGCCCCGGUAAACGGCGGCCGUAACUAUAACGGUCCUAAGGUAGCGAAAUUCCUUGUCGGGUAAGUUCCGACCUGCACGAAUGGCGUAAUGAUGGCCAGGCUGUCUCCACCCGAGACUCAGUGAAAUUGAACUCGCUGUGAAGAUGCAGUGUACCCGCGGCAAGACGGAAAGACCCCGUGAACCUUUACUAUAGCUUGACACUGAACACUGGUCCUUGAUGUGUAGGAUAGGUGGGAGGCUUUGAAGCGUGGACGCCAGUCUGCGUGGAGCCAUCCUUGAAAUACCACCCUUUAAUGGCUGGUGUUCUAACGUAGACCCGUAAUCCGGGUUGCGGACAGUGUCUGGUGGGUAGUUUGACUGGGGCGGUCUCCUCCCAAAGAGUAACGGAGGAGCACGAAGGUUAGCUAAUCCUGGUCGGACAUCAGGAGGUUAGUGCAAUGGCAUAAGCUAGCUUGACUGCGAGAGUGACGGCUCGAGCAGGUGCGAAAGCAGGUCAUAGUGAUCCGGUGGUUCUGAAUGGAAGGGCCAUCGCUCAACGGAUAAAAGGUACUCCGGGGAUAACAGGCUGAUACCGCCCAAGAGUUCAUAUCGACGGCGGUGUUUGGCACCUCGAUGUCGGCUCAUCACAUCCUGGGGCUGAAGUAGGUCCCAAGGGUAUGGCUGUUCGCCAUUUAAAGUGGUACGCGAGCUGGGUUUAGAACGUCGUGAGACAGUUCGGUCCCUAUCUGCCGUGGGCGCUGGAGAAUUGAGGGGGGCUGCUCCUAGUACGAGAGGACCGGAGUGGACGCAUCACUGGUGUUCGGGUUGUCAUGCCAAUGGCACUGCCCGGUAGCUAAAUGCGGAAGAGAUAAGUGCUGAAAGCAUCUAAGCACGAAACUUGCCCCGAGAUGAGUUCUCCCUGAGACUUAAAGUCUCCUGAAGGAACGUUAAAGACGAUGACGUUGAUAGGUCGGGUGUGUAAGCGCAGCGAUGUGUUGAGCUAACCGAUACUAAUGAACCGUGAGGCUUAACCUU
This 2905-nucleotide ribosomal RNA is filed under the name Enterobacter cloacae. Its description in RNAcentral is "23S ribosomal RNA". It matches the Rfam family "Bacterial large subunit ribosomal RNA". The record is from RNAcentral. Lineage: Bacteria; Pseudomonadati; Pseudomonadota; Gammaproteobacteria; Enterobacterales; Enterobacteriaceae.